AACAAAUAGCGGUGUCGUGGGUUGCUGUGUGUGGGAGAAAAAGUAUGGAGAUGAGAGAGAAACAAAUUGGAUAAGUGAGGAAGGUGGAUUAGGGUUGGGCGAGUGUUUUGAUUUUUUCAAUUGGAGCUGCAGUAGGGAUGACAAAGAAAAGGUUGAAGUGAGAGAGAUGAAAGAGGAAGGGUUGAGAGGAAUGAGAGAGGUGAGUAAGGGUUUGGAGGGUUUUUUUUUAUUAGUUUUGAGAAUGAAAAUUAUUAAAAUAUCUUUAACCUUAAAACUUAUAAUCCAUGAUAUAUAAGGAUAUUUUUUGUCUACUAAAAUCUGGUACACAUUGCUAAAAUGUAUCAACUGAAAAAACAACGUACGUGUAUUAGCAAACCCAUACACAAAUAUAU
RNAcentral lists this long non-coding RNA (392 nucleotides) under Vigna radiata. RNAcentral's name for it is "long non-coding RNA (VRAD_LNC010689)". The record is from RNAcentral. Lineage: Eukaryota; Viridiplantae; Streptophyta; Magnoliopsida; Fabales; Fabaceae.